AUGCAGUCGAGCGGUAAGGCCCUUCGGGGUACACGAGCGGCGAACGGGUGAGUAACACGUGGGUGACCUGCCUCGCACUUCGGGAUAAGCCUGGGAAACUGGGUCUAAUACCGGAUAUGACCACGGAAUGCAUGUUCUGUGGUGGAAAGAUUUAUCGGUGCGAGAUGGGCCCGCGGCCUAUCAGCUUGUUGGUGGGGUAACGGCCUACCAAGGCGACGACGGGUAGCCGACCUGAGAGGGUGACCGGCCACACUGGGACUGAGACACGGCCCAGACUCCUACGGGAGGCAGCAGUGGGGAAUAUUGCACAAUGGGCGAAAGCCUGAUGCAGCGACGCCGCGUGGGGGAUGACGGCCUUCGGGUUGUAAACCCCUUUCGACAGGGACGAAGCGCAAGUGACUGUACCUGUAGAAGAAGCACCGGCCAACUACGUGCCAGCAGCCGCGGUAAUACGUAGGGUGCGAGCGUUGUCCGGAAUUACUGGGCGUAAAGAGCUUGUAGGCGGUUUGUCGCGUCAUCUGUGAAAACUUGGGGCUCAACCUUAAGCUUGCAGGCGAUACGGGCAGACUAGAGUACUUCAGGGGAGACUGGAAUUCCUGGUGUAGCGGUGAAAUGCGCAGAUAUCAGGAGGAACACCGGUGGCGAAGGCGGGUCUCUGGGAAGUAACUGACGCUGAGAAGCGAAAGCAUGGGUAGCAAACAGGAUUAGAUACCCUGGUAGUCCAUGCCGUAAACGGUGGGUACUAGGUGUGGGUUUCCUUCCACGGGAUCCGUGCCGUAGCUAACGCAUUAAGUACCCCGCCUGGGGAGUACGGCCGCAAGGCUAAAACUCAAAGAAAUUGACGGGGGCCCGCACAAGCGGCGGAGCAUGUGGAUUAAUUCGAUGCAACGCGAAGAACCUUACCUGGGUUUGACAUACACCGGAAACCUGCAGAGAUGUAAG
Molecule: ribosomal RNA, 942 nt
Filed under: Nocardia sp. UA-VH0212
Lineage: Bacteria; Bacillati; Actinomycetota; Actinomycetes; Mycobacteriales; Nocardiaceae
Description: bacterial SSU rRNA
Rfam family: Bacterial small subunit ribosomal RNA
Source: RNAcentral